GAGGAAAGCUGGAGGCGUGCCUAAUACAUGCAAGUCGAGCGAACAGACGAGGAGCUUGCUCCUCUGACGUUAGCGGCGGACGGGUGAGUAACACGUGGAUAACCUACCUAUAAGACUGGGAUAACUUCGGGAAACCGGAGCUAAUACCGGAUAAUAUAUUGAACCGCAUGGUUCAAUAGUGAAAGACGGUUUUGCUGUCACUUAUAGAUGGAUCCGCGCCGCAUUAGCUAGUUGGUAAGGUAACGGCUUACCAAGGCAACGAUGCGUAGCCGACCUGAGAGGGUGAUCGGCCACACUGGAACUGAGACACGGUCCAGACUCCUACGGGAGGCAGCAGUAGGGAAUCUUCCGCAAUGGGCGAAAGCCUGACGGAGCAACGCCGCGUGAGUGAUGAAGGUCUUCGGAUCGUAAAACUCUGUUAUUAGGGAAGAACAAAUGUGUAAGUAACUAUGCACGUCUUGACGGUACCUAAUCAGAAAGCCACGGCUAACUACGUG
This 497-nucleotide ribosomal RNA is filed under the name uncultured bacterium. Its description in RNAcentral is "partial 16S ribosomal RNA". It matches the Rfam family "Bacterial small subunit ribosomal RNA", at positions 28 to 507 of the family's 1533-position model. The record is from RNAcentral.